RNAcentral lists this long non-coding RNA (5438 nucleotides) under Sus scrofa (pig). RNAcentral describes it as "lncRNA (ENSSSCG00005009911.1)". Lineage: Eukaryota; Metazoa; Chordata; Mammalia; Artiodactyla; Suidae. The record is from RNAcentral.
UUUUUUUUUUUUUUUUUUGCUUUGCUUUUUAGGACUGUACUCACGGCAUAUGGAGGUUCCCAGGCUAGAGGUCUAAUCGGAGCCACAGCCACAGCCAUGCCAGAUCCAAGCCUCAUCUGCGACCUACACCACAGCUCAGGGCAACGCCGGAUCCUUAACCUACAGAGCGAGGCCAGGGAUCGAACCAGCAACCUCAUGGUUCCUAGUCAGAUUUGCUUCCACUGCGCCACGACGGGAACUCCUGCAUCUUCUUCUUUUUGACUCAAUGAUUCUCGUCGUUAAAACCCCAGAGGGGCGGAUGGUCACACACAGGGUGACCUCCUCACUCGUGACUCAGUCACAACCAGUCUCAGUAGUUCAGACGGUUUCGUUUGCCUUUCGUGACGGGAGCUUCUGGGCGUCUAGGCUCAUCCCGUUCUGCCACUGUGGUGCCCUUUUGUGUCACGGUCAUGGCACCCACUGCCGGGCACUUUUUGUCUCUGCUGACAUUUUAAUAGUCACAGGAGUGUGAGCACAGAGUGACAAGGGGACGCGGGAGCGGAGGCCGAGCGAGCUGUGGGGUGAGUGCCUCCUUUGUGAGCGACUCGAGAGGCGGCGCCCUUUCCAUCGGGGUUUCCUUUCCAGCGUCCGUCGUCCGUCUCGUCGCCCUGGCCUUGAGCACGAGAGGGAACGGCUUGCUCUCCGCCUGCCUGGUGCUGCGGGUCUGAACCCCGCGGGGCGGCCGAGCUGCAGAGCGGGCAGAACGAGGCCGCAGCGACCCCUGGGCGGGAGCAUUCCCACGAGGGGCCCUCUGGCGUGGCGCUGCUGUCAACCUUUGGGCCUGGACUGGUCUUUGUCCGGGACCUUCCUGUGCCCUGUAAGGAGCUCAGCGACAUCCCUGACUGCCUCCUUCUAGAUGCUGGCAGCACCACCCCUCCCAGCGUGACAACCAGGCCUGUCUCCAGACACUGCCAAGUGCCCCCUGGGGGCAAAACGCCCUCCCUGUUGAGACCCUUGCUCCGGGUAACAACAGCCCCUGCCCCAAGCUGUCAGUCAAGGCCGAGGAGGCUGAUCUUAGCACCCACGUCUCCUGGGUGAGAGGGGAGGCCUGGAGAGGUGCUUGGCUUUUUGUGGGAGCUACAUGAGGGGUGUGUCUGGGUUUGUUUUUACAAAGUGCACAGAUACCCCUGGAGGGGCUGGCACAGCCCAGGAUGCACCUGGCUGCUCUGAGCCUCGACUCUGUCUUCUCCCCAGACUCUCUGCACUUGGAGGUGCUGAGUAAAUGCCGUUGACUCAUGGGCAGCCCGAUGCGGGGGGGGUGCGUGGAAGAAGUGAGAGUGCAUGACUCAGGGCUAUUGUGACUGCCCAUACCCACUGUGCCCAUACCCACUGCCCCCCCCAGCCAGUGGCUGGGAGGCCAUCCCCGCAGGAAAGGAAUGCCCAACAGGUACGUGACCUAACAUGCUAAAAGCGACUUGGGGUGUAAUUACCCCCAGGAAAGACACGCCCGGGGAAUCUAUAACUGAGAUACGGGGGACGGAAGACUGGACUCCUGUCAUUUCCUUCCCUCGCAUGAUAUCAGAACCCUGAGCAGAGGCUGGCACGCUGCAGCUGGACGGGGAGACUCCCUGGGUGCAGAAAACCGCCAGCCCAGAGUUCUGGAAUGCAGCCGAAGCAUGAAGUUCUGUCUGGGGGAUCCCCCUCAGCCCCACCCGACAGAAUCCAUGGGUGUUGUUUCCAUCAGAGGCUUUUCAGAUGUUUCAUGUGUUUUGUUAACCCAAGGCCCGCCUUCUGAGAAUUCCUAGGAACUCUGAAAACAUGCCCAGAGUGAGUUAGAACCCAGCCAGCUCAACCAGCCCAUCACCUCCUCCUGGAAGCCCCUCUGGCCUGGCUUGGUUGGCACGGCGCCUCUCUUCUGCUGGCUCUGUCCAGCACCUGGGCCCAUUGCUGCUCCAUCCUUCUCGUGCCUCCUGAGAAUUCACUGCUUGAAUCCCGCACUCUUCACACCCCCUCCGGUCUUUGGCACGAUAUGGAGUUCCCCGUUUAUUUAACAAGCAGUGGUGCAGGGCUUACCAUUAGCCAGCACCACGCUAAGCGCUCUGCAGAUAUUAACUCGCCGCCUCACAGUGAUUACAGCCAUCUGCAAGUGGAUCCGCACACAUGCCCCCCAGUCCCCGGCCCCCAGCCCCCGGUCUGCCUUUGGAGGUUUGAGGAAAAGCCCAGGCUGAGUUUCUAACGGCUCCGCCCUCGCCAUCAACCCUACAGGAAUCCUGACAUCAAUGCCCAUGAUGAAGGGAUGCUUGGGUGUCAGAAAUCCCGCCCACCGGGGACGGGAUGCAGGAAGCGGCCAAGCCAGCCUCUGGACCACUCAGCCCAGCAGAGUGUGGGACUCUGGCCACAGCCCCCCGACGGCCCACUCCUCAAAAUGAAAGCCCUGUCCGGUGGACUAACUCUUCUUCCUGGGGCUUGAAAGGACAAAAGAGAUCCAGCCCGCCCUGCCCAAGGAGGGGCGGUUUCCUUUCAGCAACGCUCCCCAGAAGGACAAAAGAUUUCCAAGUCCCAUGCAGACAGCCCUCCUCUAGGCUCAUGUUACGCUGGAUUUUCUGUCAGGGCCUCUGCCCGUCCAGGGUCCCUAAUCCAGCAGCCGAGAUGCUGGGCUGCGAGCUUUCUUGGGUGCAAAGGUUCCCUAUGGCCUGUGCUCCCGGGACCCGCCCUACUGGGCACCUGACCCCAAACCACGGCCCGAUGUUUGCAGGACACUUGAAUUAGCCAGUGACCCCGGGACCUCACCAGCAAGGCACCGGGUCUUCCUGCCUGGUGCUCGGAGUCAGAACCUUGAACCUCCUCCCGGUUUGGUGCCUCAGACCUCACCCUGCUGGAAAUUUCUGGUGUCCUAGAGGAGUGAGCCCCUCCCGAACAGCACUGUCCAGCAGGAGACCUGCCACUCCCGCUGCACCACAGCGGGAACUCCAAAGCCUUUGCUUGUUAGUUUGGAAAACUAGGUCGGAUGGCUUUUAUUUUCUGCUUUAUGUUUGUUUCUCUGUGUUUCCCAAGACUGCUGCAAUGAUCACAAAGCAGUUUUAUUACCAGGAAAGCGGUGACAAUCAUUAAAAGCUCUGAGCUGCUGGGAAGCCUGCAGGCUCAUAUCCGACCCUGUUAUUGUUUGAGGGAUAAAGGCCAGUGUCUCGGAUUUUUAUCUGUAAAACCCCAGUUUGGAGAAAACCAGCUUUGCUCAGGGCCCGUUGGAGACACAGGCCCCCAGUAUUUUGACAGCAUAAUCUUUCACUACAAAAGCUCUCUGAUGACCCAGCUGGUCACACAGGCGUUUGAGGGGAGGAGGUGAGAGGUCUCUAUCUCGAGACCCCAAAGGUGGCUACCUGGCCCAUCGGAGGGCACCCUCCAAGGGUGGUGAUGCGUGUGUAGGUGCAACACGCACGCACUGUCUGCCUCGCCAGGAACACGAGAGCGGCUGCGGUUGGAGAUGCUGGCCCAGCUCGUGGGGGGGGGGGAGUCACGUCUGACCCAGUGGCCUCCCUGGAGGACCCUGGACAGGCAGGCCCCUCACCCCCCAACCCCGAGAGGCGGACAGCUGAGGCUCCUGGGCUCUGGGUCUCCUGCCAGCUGCGUGGGCCGGUGGGGGGGGCAGGGCCAUUCCUUCCCUCGGCCACGCGUGCCCUCCUUGGGUCAUCACUCACUUCUUGCUUCAUUCAGCCUCCUGCUCUUUGGCGCACCCGCUGCCUUAUUAACCCCCCUCCCCCCCACGGUCCAGCUCCUCUCCCCUCCCUCCCUGCAUCUGCGGCUUAAUUCACUUCCUCGUCCCCUUUGUGGGCUGCCCGCCCCCUCCCGUGGCUCGAAUGUCAGCUCCAGGCUAUUUUGUCCUGAUUCAUUCAGUGGCUCCAGAUUUCCCUGCCUGAAAAUGACACCAGGAGUGAGCCGCAGGGACCCGGCCCAAAGGUCCAGAGCGGAGCCGGUUAUUCAGGGAGCUGGGGCCUCCGCGCGUUCGCUUACGAGGCAAAAGGUUUGCGGGAAGGGGGCGCGUGAGAACCACCUCUGCGACCCGGGACAGCAUCUGUCGUGGCAGGAGGCACCAGCGACCGAGGGUGACUUAACUCAGCCCCUUCAAUCCUUUCGCUCAUGUAGACAAGACCCAAGGGGCCAGGGCCUGUGGAGUUAGUAGACACACACACACACACACACACACACACUCAUCCCUGCAGGGUUAAAAGUGGGUCCAACGUGUGUAACCUCCUCCCUCGCGCCGAUAUAAUUAGGGGUCCCAGAAUCCACCCCGGAGCGCACCCUGGCCACAGCUCACCACGGCCCCGAUCCCCCAGGAUUUGUGGUCCUGCAGGGCCCCCCACACGGCGGUCCUUCCCAGGGCUCCCACCUUCGUGGGGGCCCCACUGCUGCCUCUAACACACCAUCUCCCUGAGCAGAGCCCGAGAGCCACUUUCCCUGCUUCUUGGGCAAGAAUUAGUUCCAUCUGAAAUCAGAUUUUCUGGAAAAGCAAAGGUCUUCUAUUUCCCCCCCGCCCACCCCUCUGACCCAGCCCUAAGUGGCAAGAGAAUUCCGAGGAGGAGGAAUUUUUUCUCUUUUUAAGGCCGCACCUGCCACAUGUGGAAGUUCCUGGGCUAGGAGUCGAGGUGGAGCUGCCCCUGCGACCUAAGCCACAGGCACGGCAACACCGGACCCUUAACCCGCUGACCCUUCCCGCCAGGCAUGGAACCUGCAUCCUCAUGGAUACAUGUGGGGUUAAUCUAACCCUCUGAGCCACAGCGGGAACGCCAGGAGGAGGCAUUUUUAAUUAAUGUUGCAUUCCACAUUUUGGUUCUCUGGGCAAGCACCCUGAGGUUUUCAUAACCUCCUGCUCUCCUUCCCGCUGGGCAGUGAGGUGGCCCUCCGACCUCUGAGCCCAGCCCCAGGUCCCUCCUCGCCCAGUGAACUCCAGCGCCUCUCAGCCCCUUUCCAGAGAGAAAGCCCAUCGUGUCCUUUGUCAGGGAGGACAAAGCCCCCCAGCUCCCGCCAAGAGGAAAACAAGGGAAAAACACACUCCAGAUGAUGCCAGAGAAGGGCCCGGGGCUGGGCGGGCAGGUGCAUGGAAACCGUGUCAUCAGGCCAGGUGGAUGGGGCGGGCCACCGCUGCCCAGGGGGCACCCAGCAGGCCCGGCCCUCUAGCCUUUGCAAAUGUGCCUGAGGAAGGGCAUGUGGUUGGCGGCUGCAACCCGGGCACAGAGCCUCCUGGCCUUGGAGCUGGAUGGGGUGGGCGCUGUAGCACCAGCGACCUUGGGGGCCCCCCUGCCAGGGAGGGGCCGGGUGGCAGGGACCCCUUCGUUCUGCUCCCAUCCCAGCCUUGUUUACUUUGGGGACCAAACAAGGGCCUGUUUUCCCGUGGGGGUGGCAAGCUCCCCUCACCAGGACCUGACACUUGCUAACGCCUUCGCAGGUGUUAACGUUCUCCC